AUUAACAUGAGCCAGAAAUCUUCUUCUGAUGUUUUGGUGAAGAAUUCAAUUAAGAAAGUUGUGGGUCCUUUAAAAGAUGGACUCCAGUCCAUCAACAAUGUCUAUGAGGCUCUCAUUGGUGAAGAUGUAGAUUAUUUUAGUGGACAGUGUAGAAAUUACAGCUUCAUCAGAGAGCAGAUUGUUGGGGCUGAACAGAGUCUGCAGAUAUCAGAACAGGCAGCAAGUUCAGGGCUGAAGAGUCUGGAUGAAAACAUUGAGAUCCUCACACAAGACGAGGGAAGACUUGAACGAGAGAAGAGAUCUACACAACAGGACUUAGACAACCUGAAAACAGAGCAGGAGUCUAAUAAUAAACUACUGAAACAGUCUGAAGAUUCUGUGGAGGUGGCCAGAUCACAUCUCAGAUCAGCAAGAGACACACUUCAGAGACAGGAAGAGAGAAAAAGUAAUGCUGGGAUUGUGACGGGUGUGGGAGCAGGACUGCUCGUUAUACCAGUUGUUGGAUGGAUCGCUGGUGAGAACCACAUGACUCAUACUUUAACUUUUAUUAAUGUUUGGACAAUCUUACAAAAUCUUUUUUUUUCUCCUUACAGGUUCUGCCAUGGUGGUUGGUGGAGUCAUAGGACUGGUUGAAGCUUCAGAUGCUGUAAAAGUUGCUGAAGAAGAGGAGAGACGGUCUGAGUCUGAAGUGAACCGGUACAGAAGUAAAGUGUCUGAAUACAACUCCAAGAUUUCCCAGACUAAGAGCAAAAUCAGUCAGAAAAAUGACCAGAUAGAGCAGAUCCGUAAAAAGAUCCAGAAGGUAAAGGAGCAGAGAGUUGCUGUAGCUGAGUUUCAGAGCACUGUGAGAAAAGCCGUCCGCAUUCUGAGCAUUCUGAGUGGAAGCGUCGAUGUUGUUGAAUGUCAGACUCGCAGAUUCAUCCAUCUGGAGCCGGUGAUGAAGGUGAUGGAGAAUCUGAUGAAGGCAGCAGGAGAUAUUGGGCGGAGUCAGCUCCUCUCCGAUGAAGAUGUACCAAGACUCCUCGAUACGAUGAGGGAGAACAACAUAAAACUGGCAGCGAUCUGCAAUUCAUCCAACAAUCCUGAAGAUGAGCUUUACUACUGACACUAGGGGAGGCAAAUCCAACCAAAAAAUAAGAAUUAUAAUAUCUUAAACAUUUCUUUUAUCCACAUGUGUGAAAAUAUCAAUAAAAAUAAAGAUAAAGGUGAAUAAUU
RNAcentral lists this long non-coding RNA (1215 nucleotides) under Astyanax mexicanus (Mexican tetra). RNAcentral's name for it is "lncRNA (ENSAMXG00005002396.1)". The record is from RNAcentral. Lineage: Eukaryota; Metazoa; Chordata; Actinopteri; Characiformes; Acestrorhamphidae.